UGGGGAAUCUUGGGCAAUGGGCGCAAGCCUGACCCAGCCAUGCCGCGUGUGCGAAGAAGGCUCUAGGGUUGUAAAGCACUUUCAGUGGUGAAGAAAAGCCCGGGGUUAAUACCCCCGGGUCUUGACGUUAGCCACAGAAGAAGCACCGGCUAACUCCGUGCCAGCAGCCGCGGUAAUACGGAGGGUGCGAACGUUAAUCGGAAUUACUGGGCGUAAAGCGCGCGUAGGCGGUUCGGCAAGUGGGAUGUGAAAGCCCCGGGCUCAACCUGGGAACUGCAUUCCAAACUACCGAACUGGAGUAUGGUAGAGGGAGGUAGAAUUUCCUGUGUAGCGGUGGAAUGCGUAGAUAUAGGAAGGAAUACCGAUGGCGAAGGCAGCCUCCUGGACCAAUACUGACGCUGAGGCGCGAAAGCGUGGGUAGCAAACAGGAUUAGAUACCCCCGUAGUCC
This 449-nucleotide ribosomal RNA is filed under the name uncultured prokaryote. RNAcentral describes it as "bacterial SSU rRNA". It matches the Rfam family "Bacterial small subunit ribosomal RNA", at positions 355 to 796 of the family's 1533-position model. The record is from RNAcentral.